GUUAAUUAUCCCGUGUUCUGACUUUCCAGGGUUUCUGCAGCCAGCAGUGAUGCACUGUUUACUUUGCAGUAACCAGAGAACCAUGGCUGAUUUCAGAACUGAAGGGACAUCAAAAUGUUAAAAUAGAUCUGAAUCUUGUAAAUCUGUACUGACCUUGGUGGGGAGUGAGGAUCUCUGUUGCCUUCAGCUGGCUUGGUGUGAUGUUCCUGUGGUGCUGUUCUCGCUCUGGGCAGUGAUGCACAGCAGGGACUUAUCCAGAUGGUCUGAGGAGGAGCCACCUCACCAGUGUAAGACUGUAAGAGCUUCUUCACCCUGUUUUGGUCCAAGUUCCUGAGCUGGUAUCUCUGCACAACGUGUUGCUCAUCAAACACCCCAGCUGUCCUCAGUAACGUUGCUGCUGUCAGCCAGCCAGUAACCUCUGCUCUGGCCAUCAAACAUCACCACUAAAAGUUCAAGACAGGUAAGAAAUAAUUACUAUAAUACCAUUUUUUAAUUUGUCUUCUGCUUUUCCAUAGGGAUUACCUUAUGUUUUCCCUCUUUCU
Molecule: long non-coding RNA, 542 nt
Filed under: Manacus vitellinus (golden-collared manakin)
Lineage: Eukaryota; Metazoa; Chordata; Aves; Passeriformes; Pipridae
Description: lncRNA (ENSMVIG00005009368.1)
Source: RNAcentral